Molecule: ribosomal RNA, 355 nt
Filed under: uncultured bacterium
Lineage: Bacteria
Description: bacterial SSU rRNA
Rfam family: Bacterial small subunit ribosomal RNA
Source: RNAcentral
GUUAAUAGCGGCGUUGUUUGACGUUAGCGACAGAAGAAAGCACCGGCUAACUCCGUGCCAGCAGCCGCGGUAAUACGGAGGGUGCGAGCGUUAAUCGGAAUUACUGGGCGUAAAGACGCAUGCAGGUGGUUUGUUUAAGUCAGAUGUGAAAGACCCGGGGCGUCAACCUACGGAAUUGCAUUUGUAAACUAGGCAGACUAGAGUACUGUAGAGGGGGGUAGGAAUUUACUAGGUGUAGCGGUGAAAUAGCGUAGAGAUCUGAAGGAAUACCGGUGGCGAAGGCGGCCCCCUCGGACAGAUACUGACACUCAGAUGCGAAAGCGUGGGGAGCAAACAGGAUUAGAUACCCUGGUAG